CCUACGGGAGGCAGCAGUGAGGAAUAUUGGUCAAUGGGCGCGAGCCUGAACCAGCCAAGUAGCGUGAAGGAUGACUGCCCUACGGGUUGUAAACUUCUUUUAUAAAGGAAUAAAGUGAGGCACGUGUGCCUUUUUGUAUGUACUUUAUGAAUAAGGAUCGGCUAACUCCGUGCCAGCAGCCGCGGUAAUACGGAGGAUCCGAGCGUUAUCCGGAUUUAUUGGGUGUAAAGGGGGCGCAGACGGCGAUGCAAGCCAGGAGUGAAAGCCCGGGGCCCAACCCCGGGACUGCUCUUGGAACUGGGUGGCUGGAGUGCAGGAGGGGCAGGCGGAAUUCCUGGUGUAGCGGUGAAAUGCUUAGAUAUCACGAAGAACUCCGAUUGCGAAGGCAGCUUACUAAACUGCAACUGACAUUGAUGCUCGAAAGUGUGGGUAUCAAACAGGAUUAGAUACCCUUGUAGUC
RNAcentral lists this ribosomal RNA (460 nucleotides) under uncultured bacterium. RNAcentral's name for it is "partial 16S ribosomal RNA". It matches the Rfam family "Bacterial small subunit ribosomal RNA", at positions 338 to 795 of the family's 1533-position model. The record is from RNAcentral.